GCAUAUCAAUAAGCGGAGGAAAAGAAACCAACAGGGAUUGCCCUAGUAACGGCGAGUGAAGCGGCAACAGCUCAAAUUUGAAAUCUGGCUUCGGCCCGAGUUGUAAUUUGCAGAGGAAGCUUCUGGCGCGGCGCUGUCCGAGUCCCCUGGAACGGGGCGCCAUAGAGGGUGAGAGCCCCGUAUGGAUGGAUGCCUAGCCUGUGUGAAGCUCCUUCGACGAGUCGAGUAGUUUGGGAAUGCUGCUCAAAAUGGGAGGUAAAUUCCUUCUAAAGCUAAAUAUUGGCCAGAGACCGAUAGCGCACAAGUAGAGUGAUCGAAAGAUGAAAAGCACUUUGAAAAGAGGGUUAAAUAGCACGUGAAAUUGUUGAAAGGGAAGCGCUUGUGACCAGACUUGCGCCAGGCUGAUCAUCCGGUGUUCUCACCGGUGCACUCUGCCUGGCUCAGGCCAGCAUCGGUUUUGGUGGGGGGAUAAAGACCUAGGGAACGUAGCUCUUUCGGGAGUGUUAUAGCCCUGGGUGUAAUGCCCCCGCUGGGACCGAGGUUCGCGCAUCUGCAAGGAUGCUGGCGUAAUGGUCAUCAGCGACCCGUCUUGAAACACGGACCAAGGAGUCAAGGUUUUGCGCGAGUGUUUGGGUGUUAAACCCGCACGCGUAAUGAAAGUGAACGUAGGUGAGAGCUUCGGCGCAUCAUCGACCGAUCCUGAUGUAUUCGGAUGGAUUUGAGUAGGAGCGUUAAGCCUUGGACCCGAAAGAUGGUGAACUAUGCUUGGAUAGGGUGAAGCCAGAGGAAACUCUGGUGGAGGCUCGCAGCGGUUCUGACGUGCAAAUCGAUCGUCAAAUCUGAGCAUGGGGGGCGAAAGACUAAUCGAACCAUCUAGUAGCUGGUUACCGCCGAAG
This 896-nucleotide ribosomal RNA is filed under the name Rinaldiella pentagonospora. RNAcentral describes it as "LSU rRNA". It matches the Rfam family "Eukaryotic large subunit ribosomal RNA", at positions 38 to 966 of the family's 3401-position model. Lineage: Eukaryota; Fungi; Ascomycota; Sordariomycetes; Sordariales; Schizotheciaceae. The record is from RNAcentral.